Molecule: ribosomal RNA, 1060 nt
Filed under: Idiomarina sp. S5
Lineage: Bacteria; Pseudomonadati; Pseudomonadota; Gammaproteobacteria; Alteromonadales; Idiomarinaceae
Description: bacterial SSU rRNA
Rfam family: Bacterial small subunit ribosomal RNA
Source: RNAcentral
CUUGCGGCAGUCUACACAUGCAAGUCGAGCGGUAACAGAGAGAAGCUUGCUUCUCUGCUGACGAGCGGCGGACGGGUGAGUAAUACUUGGGAAUUUGCCUUUAGGCGGGGGACAACCACGGGAAACUGUGGCUAAUACCGCAUAAUGUCUACGGACCAAAGUGGGGGACCUUCGGGCCUCACACCUAAAGAUGAGCCCAAGCGGGAUUAGCUAGUUGGUGGGGUAAAGGCUCACCAAGGCGACGAUCCCUAGCUGUUCUGAGAGGAUGAUCAGCCACACUGGGACUGAGACACGGCCCAGACUCCUACGGGAGGCAGCAGUGGGGAAUAUUGCACAAUGGGGGAAACCCUGAUGCAGCCAUGCCGCGUGUGUGAAGAAGGCCUUCGGGUUGUAAAGCACUUUCAGCGACGAGGAAGGGUGUUGUGUUAAUAGCACAGCACAUUGACGUUAGUCGCAGAAGAAGCACCGGCUAACUCCGUGCCAGCAGCCGCGGUAAUACGGAGGGUGCAAGCGUUAAUCGGAAUUACUGGGCGUAAAGCGUACGUAGGCGGCGUGUUAAGCAAGAUGUGAAAGCCCCGGGCUCAACCUGGGAAUUGCAUUUUGAACUGGCAUGCUAGAGUCCUGAAGAGGGUGGUAGAAUUUCCAGUGUAGCGGUGAAAUGCGUAGAUAUUGGAAGGAAUACCGGUGGCGAAGGCGGCCACCUGGUCAGAGACUGACGCUGAGGUACGAAAGCGUGGGGGAGCAAACAGGAUUAGAUACCCUGGUAGUCCACGCCGUAAACGAUGUCAACUAGUUGUUCGUGUCAUUAAGACGUGAGUAACGCAGCUAACGCACUAAGUUGACCGCCUGGCGAGUACGGCCGCAAGGUUAAACUCAGAUGAUUUGACGGGGGCCCGCACCAAGCGGUGGAGCAUGGUGGUUUAAUUCGAUGUCACGCGAAUACUUACCAUCCCUUGACAUCAGUGAUUUUCCAGAGAUGAUUAUGGCUUCGGGACACUGAGACAGGUGCUGCAUGGCUGUCGUCACUCGAGCUGUGUGAUGUUGGUAAGUGCGCAACCAG